AGGUUUCUAACAGAUCACUCAGCUACUAGGGUGGGAAUAAAUAUUUGAACCCAGGUUUGACUGAGCUCAGGGCUCUGGCAAUACUCUACCAUCUGCUAGUUAAGUCAUUCAUUUAAGCAUAGACUUGCAUGUCUUGCUCCUGAACAGGAAAUACUUCCAUCACAACACCAGUUCUUGGGGAGAGUCUCUCAUAAAUGAAAGAGUUCUGGUGGUUGAUCAUCAGAAGUACAAACAGUUCUAACAACCUAAUGUUCUGAGUUCUAUUCUGAUGGAUUUUGUUAGUUUAUUUAUCAUUCGUUUAAUGUUUUCCACUAUAGAUAUAUGCCCUAUUUGACAGAGCUUUGGUCCAGUGAGCAUCAUCAUGAACAUCAUCAUAUCUUCAAGGUGUCAAGAACAUAACCACCAUUGGCUCAUGUGAGUGGCAAGUCACACUAAUUGCAAGAGCUUCAGGCGUGGCUGGAUCCAGGAGCUCCAGCUAUAUACUUGUGAGUCUGACUCUCUCCAACUCUUGGUUCUCUUUCCUUUGCUUUUGGUUUCAUUCU
RNAcentral lists this long non-coding RNA (542 nucleotides) under Bos indicus x Bos taurus (hybrid cattle). Its description in RNAcentral is "lncRNA (ENSBIXG00000029504.1)". Lineage: Eukaryota; Metazoa; Chordata; Mammalia; Artiodactyla; Bovidae. The record is from RNAcentral.